This 468-nucleotide ribosomal RNA is filed under the name uncultured bacterium. RNAcentral describes it as "partial 16S ribosomal RNA". It matches the Rfam family "Bacterial small subunit ribosomal RNA", at positions 28 to 507 of the family's 1533-position model. The record is from RNAcentral.
GACGAACGCUGGCGGCGUGCUUAACACAUGCAAGUCGAACGGAAAGGCCCUGCUUUUGUGGGGUGCUCGAGUGGCGAACGGGUGAGUAACAUGUGAGUAACCUGCCCUGGACUUUGGGAUAACUUCAGGAAACUGGGGCUAAUACCUGAUAGGAGCUCCUGCUGCAUGGUGGGGGUUGGAAAGUUUCGGCGGUUGGGGAUGGACUCGCGGCUUAUCAGCUUGUUGGUUGGGUAGUGGCUUACCAAGGCUUUGACGGGUAGCCGGCCUGAGAGGGUGAACGGGCACCAUGGGCCUGCGAUACGGAGCAGACUCCUACGGGAGGCAGCAGGGGGGAAUCUUGCCCAAUGGGCGGAAGCCUGAUGCAGAAACGCCGCGUGCGGGAUGACGGCCUUCGGGUUGUAAACCGCUUUCGCCUGUGACGAAGCGUGAGUGACGGUAAUGGGUAAAGAAGCACCGGCUAACUACGUG